GGCGACGGACGUGCGCUUCGCUCUACUAAAUCUCACACGUACGAAGUGAUGUGAAGUUAUGUUUUGUUUUAUUUUAUUGAUUUAUUAUUCGUAAAUGUUAUAAAACAAGUGAAUAUCUGUGAAGAGUUAACAAACCUUUAAAUUGUGUAUGUUACUGUUGACUUGGACGAGAUAUGAAAUUAUCAUCCAAUGACAAGAUAUACUGACUUCUGAGGAUCAUUAUGCUUGAGGAAGAUUUGAAGACAGAAAGAGUAGAGUUCCUUGGACGAUACGCAAAUACUCCCGCAGACCGCCGAUGUUUGUUCUGGAAGUCUUAUCACUUGAUAAGUUAGAACACAAGCCUCGCGCAAACAACCUUAUCAUGGUAACAUUCUUACUGGAGACACAAAACUACUCCACAGAAACCAUUCCAAUCAGGCGUGACGCACGGAAUACCUGAAUUAAAAAUUAAGCAGUGUUCUCAAACGUAGUCAUGGAGGAAAUUUUGUUAGUGCAUAACAUCAAUUAGUUAUAUUUAUAAAACUUCAGUGCAAGUGAAUCUAUGCCAAAGAACGCACCAAAUUUUAUAUCAUAUACUAGUCAAAUAAUAUCUUCAAACUGGAGGACUUACAAACUUUGGAAGGCGCAGAGACCGUCGUCGAGAAUGCGAGCGCCAGGGCACAGGAAUGCUU
Long non-coding RNA from Papilio polytes (common Mormon), 671 nucleotides. RefSeq lists it as uncharacterized. The transcript is spliced from 3 exons. The record is from RefSeq and is a predicted model, not a curated record. Lineage: Eukaryota; Metazoa; Arthropoda; Insecta; Lepidoptera; Papilionidae.